UGGGGAAUAUUGCACAAUGGGGGAAACCCUGAUGCAGCAACGCCGCGUGAGUGAAGAAGUAUUUCGGUAUGUAAAGCUCUAUCAGCAGGGAAGAAAAUGACGGUACCUGACUAAGAAGCCCCGGCUAACUACGUGCCAGCAGCCGCGGUAAUACGUAGGGGGCAAGCGUUAUCCGGAUUUACUGGGUGUAAAGGGUGCGCAGGCGGGACUGCAAGUUGGAUGUGAAAUACCGGAGCUCAACUCCGGGGCUGCAUCCAAAACUGUGGUUCUUGAGUGGAGCAGAGGUAAGCGGAAUUCCGAGUGUAGCGGUGAAAUGCGUAGAUAUUCGGAGGAACACCAGUGGCGAAGGCGGCUUACUGGGCUCUAACUGACGCUGAGGCACGAAAGUGUGGGUAGCAAACAGGAUUAGAUACCCUGGUAGU
This 422-nucleotide ribosomal RNA is filed under the name uncultured Lachnospiraceae bacterium. Its description in RNAcentral is "bacterial SSU rRNA". It matches the Rfam family "Bacterial small subunit ribosomal RNA", at positions 355 to 794 of the family's 1533-position model. Lineage: Bacteria; Bacillati; Bacillota; Clostridia; Lachnospirales; Lachnospiraceae. The record is from RNAcentral.